CGCGUAGGUGGUUUGUUAAGCGAGAUGUGAAAGCCCCGGGCUUAACCUGGGAACGGCAUUUCGAACUGGCAGGCUAGAGUGUGGUAGAGGGUAGUGGAAUUUCCUGUGUAGCGGUGAAAUGCGUAGAUAUAGGAAGGAACAACAGUGGCGAAGGCGGCUACCUGGACCAACACUGACACUGAGGUGCGAAAGCGUGGGGAGCAAACA
Molecule: ribosomal RNA, 207 nt
Filed under: uncultured bacterium
Lineage: Bacteria
Description: partial 16S ribosomal RNA
Rfam family: Bacterial small subunit ribosomal RNA
Source: RNAcentral